This 641-nucleotide ribosomal RNA is filed under the name uncultured bacterium. Its description in RNAcentral is "bacterial SSU rRNA". It matches the Rfam family "Bacterial small subunit ribosomal RNA", at positions 848 to 1498 of the family's 1533-position model. The record is from RNAcentral.
UAAGCGAAAGUGAUAAGUAUCCCACCUGGGGAGUACGAUCGCAAGAUUGAAACUCAAAGGAAUUGACGGGGGCCCGCACAAGCGGUGGAGCAUGUGGUUUAAUUCGAUGAUACGCGAGGAACCUUACCUGGGCUUAAAUGUAUUUUGACAGGACUGGAAACAGUUUUUCCCGCGAGGGCAAUUUACAAGGUGCUGCAUGGUUGUCGUCAGCUCGUGCCGUGAGGUGUCAGGUUAAGUCCUAUAACGAGCGCAACCCCUAUCGUUAGUUGCUAGCAGGUCAUGCUGAGGACUCUAACGAGACUGCCGGUGCAAACCGUGAGGAAGGUGGGGAUGACGUCAAAUCAUCACGGCCCUUACGUCCAGGGCCACACACGUGCUACAAUGGUGCAUACAGAGAGCAGCCAACUUGCGAGAGUGAGCGAAUCUUCAAAGUGCAUCACAGUUCGGAUCGUAGUCUGCAACUCGACUACGUGAAGCUGGAAUCGCUAGUAAUCGCAGAUCAGCCAUGCUGCGGUGAAUACGUUCCCGGGCCUUGUACACACCGCCCGUCAAGCCAUGGAAGCUGGGGGUACCUGAAGUACGUAACCGUAAGGAGCGUCCUAGGGUAAAACUGGUAACUGGGGCUAAGUCGUAACAAGGUA